RNAcentral lists this ribosomal RNA (472 nucleotides) under uncultured bacterium. RNAcentral describes it as "bacterial SSU rRNA". It matches the Rfam family "Bacterial small subunit ribosomal RNA", at positions 28 to 517 of the family's 1533-position model. The record is from RNAcentral.
GACGAACGCUGGCGGUGUGCCUAACACAUGCAAGUCGAGGGCUUUAGUAGCAAUACAAAGAGCACUGGCGCACGGGUGAGUAACGCGUAGAUCAUCUGCCCCUAACACUGACAUAACAGUUCUAACGGACUGCUAAUAUCAGAUGUGAUGAGCAAUCAUUAAAGGGAAACCGGUUAGGGAUGAGUCUGCGUCUGAUUAGGUAGUUGGUGAGGUAACGGCUCACCAAGCCUACGAUCAGUAACUGGUCUGAGAGGACGAACAGUCACACUGGAACUGAGACACGGUCCAGACUCCUACGGGAGGCAGCAGUGAGGAAUAUUGCACAAUGGGAGAAAUCCUGAUGCAGCGACGCCGCGUGUGGGAAGAAGGAGCUUAGCUUCGUAAACCACUGUCGGAGGGGACGAAUGAUAGGUUAGACCUAUUGAGACGGUACCCUCAAAGGAAGGAUCGGCUAACUACGUGCCAGCAGCCG